CCUACGGGUGGCAGCAGUGGGGCAUAUUUGGCAAUGGGCGCAAGCCUGACCCAGCAACGCCGCGUGAAGGAAGAAGGCUUUCGGGUUGUAAACUUCUUUUCUGAGGGACGAAGAAAGUGACGGUACCUCAGGAAUAAGCCACGGCUAACUACGUGCCAGCAGCCGCGGGAAUACGUAGGUGGCAAGCGUUAUCCGGAUUUAUUGGGUGUAAAGGGGGUGUAGGCGGGAAAGCAAGUCAGAUGUGAAAAGUCAGGGCUCAACCCUGAGCCUGCAUUUGAAACUGGUUUUCUUGAGUGCUGGAGAGGCAAUCGGAAUUCCGGGUGUAGCGGUGAAAUGCGUAGAUAUACGGAGGAACACCAGUGGCGAAGGCGGAUUGCUGGACAGUAACUGACGCUGAGGCGCGAAAGCGUGGGGAGCAAACAGGAUUAGAUACCCGUGUAGUC
RNAcentral lists this ribosomal RNA (443 nucleotides) under uncultured bacterium. RNAcentral describes it as "partial 16S ribosomal RNA". It matches the Rfam family "Bacterial small subunit ribosomal RNA", at positions 338 to 795 of the family's 1533-position model. The record is from RNAcentral.